This 1893-nucleotide long non-coding RNA is filed under the name Salmo salar (Atlantic salmon). RNAcentral describes it as "lncRNA (ENSSSAG00000101406.1)". The record is from RNAcentral. Lineage: Eukaryota; Metazoa; Chordata; Actinopteri; Salmoniformes; Salmonidae.
GUCAUAUGAUACACAAUCCUGGUGAUAGAGAGAGCGAGAUGGAGAGAGAGAGAGAGAGAGAGAGAGAGAGAGAGAGAGAGAGAGAGAGAGAGUUCCCUCCAUAAUCACCUUAAUAUGAAAAUAUGUAGGUUAACCUGAAUGUGAUGUAUAGGAAGUGGGUAGUAGCAGGACUGGAUGAAAUAAAACAUUUUGCUGUUAAAUGUAUGUGCAUUAGAAGUGGUUAGAGCGUUGGGCCAGUAACCCGGAAGGUUGUUAGAUCGAAUCCCCGAGCUGACAAGGUAAAGAUCUGUCGUUCUGCCCCCGAACAAGGCAGUUAACUCCAUUGUUCCUAGGCCGUCAUUGAAAAUAAUAAUUUGUUCUUAACGGACUUGCCUAGUUUAAAAAAAAGGUUAAAUAAAAAAAAGGUUAAAUCUUGUUCAAUUUACAAGUCUUAAAUCUCUCUCUCUCUCCCUCUCUAUCAGCCGGACUGCAUCUCAUAUGACUCCCUGUGUAGGGCACUACUAUUGAGCAGAGUCCAUAGGGCUGUGGUCAAAAUAAGUGCACUAUAUAUGGAAUAGGUUUCCAUUUAGUAUACAGCCCUAUCUAUGAUCUUUCACUCUUCUAUCACUGUCAUUGCAACAUAGCCUACAUUAUUUCAGUCUAAGGAGGAUAAGUUGGAUGGAUAACGUCAGUCUAAAGAGGAUAAGUUGGAUGGAUAACGUCAGUCUAAGGAAGAUAAGUUGGAUGGAUAACGUCAGUCUAAGGAGGAUAAGUUGGAUGGAUAACGUCAGUCUAAGGAGGAUAAGUUGGAUGGAUAACGACAGUCUAAGGAGGAUAAGUCGGAUGGAUAACGUCAGUCUAAGGAGGAUAAGUUGGAUGGAUAACGACAGUCUAAGGAGGAUAAGUUGGAUGGAUAACGUCAGUCUAAGGAGGAUAAGUCGGAUGGAUAACGUCAUUCUAAAGAGGAUAAGUUGAUGGAUAGCGUCAGUCUAAGGAGGAUAAGUUGGAUGGAUAACGUCAGUCUAAGGAGGAUAAGUUGGAUGGAUAACGACAGUCUAAGGAGGAUAAGUCGGAUGGAUAACGUCAGUCUAAGGAGGAUAAGUUGGAUGGAUAACGACAGUCUAAGGAGGAUAAUUGGAUGGAUAAUUCUGCAGCCAUAUUAGAUGACCGGCUGUCUGUCCUUUCCCUCGAUGGUAAGUAACUUUAGACAGCAUGUGUCUACAUAACUCAGAGGGGUGAGGCUGGCUGACCUCUACCACAUAAAGGUCAUUUACCAUGACUUCAGCAUUGAGAUGACUCAACAACUAAACUGGCUUUAAGACAACUAAGACUGAUGAAAGUAUAGACAACGUAAAUGUUACAUGAUAAAAACGUGUUACAGUAAAUUUACAACACAUAUCAUUUUCUGUACCUUUUCUGUGAUUCACUGUCUCGUCCACAUCCCAGAAUCCUCCUCGUCUCCACUCGUAGUGUUUGUGUUUGUGUGUCAAAGUACCGGCACACACAGGCUGGUCUUAGGAAGAAGGCCAUGCAGGCAGUCACUCCACUUUUCUAGACUGAGUCUAUGCAGACCAGGCUCCACUGAAAACACUAUGCUUAAAAUUCUACCUUAAAUCCUACCUCUUCCCUUCUCUGCAACAAAUUCUUAGAACCUAGAAUGAAUUCUAAGAACUUUCAAAAAUCUAAAAGGACAAUGACAAACCAACAGCAACUGACAUGGUCCUCACUUUCCUGCCACUCCACUGUAGAUCAAAGACACAAACCUUGCGACACCUCAGCCUCAGGUAACAGAAGCAUGCCUUCAGGCCCCCCAGAUUACACACUGGUUUUCCUCCAGAACACCCCUCUCCUCUCCUAGAGAACAACCCUCUCCUCUCCUCUCCUCUCCUCUCCUCUCCUCUCCUCUCCUCUCCU